Non-coding RNA from Amborella trichopoda, 72 nucleotides. The record is from Rfam. Lineage: Eukaryota; Viridiplantae; Streptophyta; Magnoliopsida; Amborellales; Amborellaceae.
GCGUCCAUUGUUUAAUGGAUCGGGCAGAGGUGUUCUAAACCUUUGGCAUAGGUUCAAAUCCUAUUGCACGCA